AUGCGAUAAGUAAUGUGAAUUGCAGAAUUCAGUGAAUCAUCGAAUCUUUGAACGCACCUUGCGCUCCCUGGUAUUCCGGGGAGCAUGCCUGUUUGAGUGUCAUGGUAUUCUCAACCUUCCUUAGCUUUGUUGUUAUCGAAGGCUUGGACUUGGAGGCUUGUGCUGGCUUCUCCUUUUGAAGUCGGCUCCUCUUAAAUGUAUUAGUGCGAGUGUAACAGAUCGCUUCGGUGUGAUAAUUAUCUGCGCCGUAGUCGUGAAGUAACAUAAGCUUGCGCUUCCAACCGUCCUUCAGCUGGACAACUUAUACUCUGACAUCUGACCUCAAAUCAGGUAGGACUACCCGCUGAACUUAAGCAUAU
RNAcentral lists this ribosomal RNA (359 nucleotides) under uncultured fungus. Its description in RNAcentral is "eukaryotic LSU rRNA". The stretch from base 1 to 102 matches the Rfam family "5.8S ribosomal RNA", at positions 53 to 154 of the family's 154-position model. The record is from RNAcentral. Lineage: Eukaryota; Fungi.